RNAcentral lists this ribosomal RNA (119 nucleotides) under Nicotiana sylvestris (wood tobacco). Lineage: Eukaryota; Viridiplantae; Streptophyta; Magnoliopsida; Solanales; Solanaceae. The record is from RNAcentral.
UGAUGCGGUCAUACCAGCACUAACGCACCGGAUCCCAUCAGAACUCCGAAGUUAAGCGUGCUUGGGCGAGAGUAGUACUAGGAUGGGUGACCCCCUGGGAAGUCCUCGUGUUGCAUCCC